AUUGCUCCAGAAGUCGCUGAGCCAACCGCAAGGAGGCAGGCGCCCAAGGAGUGGUUCGUGACUGGGGUGAAGUCGUAACAAGGUAGCCGUAGGUGAACCUGCAGAAGGAUCA
This 112-nucleotide ribosomal RNA is filed under the name uncultured eukaryote. RNAcentral's name for it is "partial small subunit ribosomal RNA". It matches the Rfam family "Bacterial small subunit ribosomal RNA", at positions 1414 to 1525 of the family's 1533-position model. The record is from RNAcentral.